CAGCCGCCGCGGGAAUACAGAGGGUGCGAGCGUUAAUCGGAUUUACUGGGCGUAAAGCGUGCGUAGGCGGCUUCUUAAGUCGGAUGUGAAAUCCCUGAGCUUAACUUAGGAAUUGCAUUCGAUACUGGGAAGCUAGAGUAUGGGAGAGGAUGGUAGAAUUCCGGGUGUAGCGGUGAAAUGCGUAGAGAUCUGGAGGAAUACCGAUGGCGAAGGCAGCCAUCUGGCCUAAUACUGACGCUGAGGUACGAAAGCAUGGGGAGCAAACAGGAUUAGAUACCCCUGUAGUCCCUGUCUCUUAUAC
RNAcentral lists this ribosomal RNA (301 nucleotides) under uncultured bacterium. RNAcentral describes it as "partial 16S ribosomal RNA". It matches the Rfam family "Bacterial small subunit ribosomal RNA", at positions 509 to 807 of the family's 1533-position model. The record is from RNAcentral.